AUUGAACGCUGGCGGCAGGCCUAACACAUGCAAGUCGAACGGUAACAGGAAGAAGCUUGCUUCUUUGCUGACGAGUGGCGGACGGGUGAGUAAUGUCUGGGAAACUGCCUGAUGGAGGGGGAUAACUACUGGAAACGGUAGCUAAUACCGCAUAACGUCGCAAGACCAAAGAGGGGGACCUUCGGGCCUCUUGCCAUCGGAUGUGCCCAGAUGGGAUUAGCUAGUAGGUGGGGUAACGGCUCACCUAGGCGACGAUCCCUAGCUGGUCUGAGAGGAUGACCAGCCACACUGGAACUGAGACACGGUCCAGACUCCUACGGGAGGCAGCAGUGGGGAAUAUUGCACAAUGGGCGCAAGCCCGAUGCAGCCAUGCCGCGUGUAUGAAGAAGGCCUUCGGGUUGUAAAGUACUUUCAGCGGGGAGGAAGGGAGUAAAGUUAAUACCUUUACUCAUUGACGUUACCCGCAGAAGAAGCACCGGCUAACUCCGUG
This 490-nucleotide ribosomal RNA is filed under the name uncultured bacterium. RNAcentral describes it as "partial 16S ribosomal RNA". It matches the Rfam family "Bacterial small subunit ribosomal RNA", at positions 30 to 507 of the family's 1533-position model. The record is from RNAcentral.